UGGGUAGCAAACAGGAUUAGAUACCCUGGUAGUCCACGCCCUAAACGAUGGAUGCUAGUUGUUGGGGGUGCCAGUCACUUCAGUAAUGCAGCUAACGCAGUAAGCAUCCCGCCUGGGGAGUACGGUCGCAAGAUUAAAACUCAAAGGAAUAGACGGGGACCCGCACAAGCGGUGGAGCAUGUGGUUUAAUUCGAAGAUACGCGAAGAACCUUACCUGGGCUUGACAUCCUAAGAACUUUGUAGAGAUACAGAGGUGCUAGCUUGCUAGAACUUAGUGACAGGCGCUGCACGGCUGUCGUCAGCUCGUGUCGUGAGAUGUUGGGUUAAGUCCCGCAACGAGCGCAACCCCCGUCCUUAGUUGCUAACGGUUCGGCCGAGAACUCUAAGGAGACUGCCUUCGUAAGGAGGAGGAAGGUGGGGACGACGUCAAGUCAUCAUGGCCCUUAUGCCCAGGGCAACACACGUGCUACAAUGGGGUGUACAGAGAGAAGCAAUACUGCGAAGUGGAGCAAAUCUCUAAAGCAUCUCUUAGUUCGGAUUGCUCUCUGCAACUCGAGAGCAUGAAGCCGGAAUCGCUAGUAAUCGUGAAUCAGCUAUGUCACGGUGAAUACGUUCCCGGGUCUUGUACUCACCGCCCGUCACACCAUGGGAGUGCAUUCACCCGAAGC
This 668-nucleotide ribosomal RNA is filed under the name uncultured organism. RNAcentral describes it as "bacterial SSU rRNA". It matches the Rfam family "Bacterial small subunit ribosomal RNA", at positions 762 to 1427 of the family's 1533-position model. The record is from RNAcentral.